Molecule: long non-coding RNA, 670 nt
Organism: Uranotaenia lowii
Lineage: Eukaryota; Metazoa; Arthropoda; Insecta; Diptera; Culicidae
Exons: 3
Source: RefSeq, a predicted model, not a curated record
AAUUUUAACCAUUUUGAUAGUUCUCGAGUGAAAACCAAAAAAUGAAUGAAAAAUUUAGAAAUAUGUACAUCACGCCAUUUUGAAAGUGAUUGGUUCUGCAGCCACAGGUGCAUUUUCUGUUAAAAAUAAGAAAUUUAACAUUUUUCGCUUAUUUAGCGCCAUUUAUAGAUGUGAAAAUGGAACGACGAACAUCCUCUGGUCCGGAAAGGGAAAGCCCGCUGGAGUUAAAUAAUCGGAAGCAGUAUUCGACCUGGUGCGGAAAACAGCAAAAAUUCGUUCAAGUGUUAAAAUUUUUUGGUCCGGUCAUUUUCCGUAUCAUCCGGAGGGAGCUGAAGUGGGUAGGAAUGAUAGGAAAACAUCACCCGGAUAUAGAGGAAAUGGUACAUUCGGUAGGGCGAUAGGAUAUUCCCAACUACAUCUGCUGCAACACUAACAUCCCAGCUCAAAUAGUUGGAAAAACUACAGCAGCAAAUUAAGUAAUACAACGGAAUAAUGCAAACCCAUCCUUGAGCAGAUUUCUAAAAAGGCUAGCCUCGCUUGGAAAGGAAUAACAAGAACUUAAACACUGUCCAUGGACCACUUCCGGCAGCGUCUACACUUGGUCCCAAUCAAGACACUCGUCGACAGCCCAACAGCAAGCUUCAGGGAACAGUCUGUAGUGACUCUACAG